GGGUGUGACUAGUGACAGAGAGAGGGAGGGUGUGACUAGUGACAGAGUGAGGGAGGGUGUGAUUAGUGACAGAGUGAGGGAGGGUGUGACUAGUGACAGAGAGAGGGAGGUGGUGACUAGUGACAGAGGGAGGGAUGGGGUGACUAGUGACAGUUACCACCUCCUUCACUCUGUCACUAGUCACUCCCUCCAUCACUCUGUCAUUGUGCACCCCCUUCCUCACUCUGUCACUAGUCACCCACUCCCUCCCUCACUCUGUCACUAGUCACUCACUCUGUCACUAGUCAUCCCCUUCCCUACUGUCACUAGUGACCCACUCCCUCUGUCAC
Pelobates cultripes (western spadefoot toad) is the source of this 329-nucleotide non-coding RNA. The record is from the annotation of a GenBank genome assembly. NCBI's taxonomy places the organism in Eukaryota, Metazoa, Chordata, Amphibia, Anura, Pelobatidae.